RNAcentral lists this ribosomal RNA (434 nucleotides) under uncultured bacterium. RNAcentral's name for it is "bacterial SSU rRNA". It matches the Rfam family "Bacterial small subunit ribosomal RNA", at positions 29 to 507 of the family's 1533-position model. The record is from RNAcentral.
AACGAACGCUGGCGGCAUGCCUAACACAUGCAAGUCGAACGAGACCUUCGGGUCUAGUGGCGCACGGGUGCGUAACGCGUGGGAAUCUGCCCUUCGGUUCGGAACAACAGUUAGAAAUGACUGCUAAUACCGGAUAAUGACGUAAGUCCAAAGAUUUAUCGCCGAAGGAUGAGCCCGCGUAAGAUUAGGUAGUUGGUGGGGUAAUGGCCUACCAAGCCGACGAUCUUUAGCUGGUCUGAGAGGAUGAUCAGCCACACUGGGACUGAGACACGGCCCAGACUCCUACGGGAGGCAGCAGUGGGGAAUAUUGGACAAUGGGCGAAAGCCUGAUCCAGCAAUGCCGACGUGAGUGAUGAAGGCCUUAGGGUUGUAAAGCUCUUUUACCAGGGAUGAUAAUGACAGUACCUGGAGAAUAAGCUCCGGCUAACUCCGUG